This is a long non-coding RNA of Polistes canadensis, 1707 nucleotides long. RefSeq lists it as uncharacterized. NCBI's taxonomy places the organism in Eukaryota, Metazoa, Arthropoda, Insecta, Hymenoptera, Vespidae. The record is from RefSeq and is a predicted model, not a curated record. The transcript has 2 exons.
AUAUAUAUAUAUAUAUAUACAGUAAAACCUGUUUUUUUGUGCGGUUCUUUUUUAUGCGAUUUUGUUUUUGUGCGACUGGUUUUGUACGAUUUUUUUUGUGCGAUUUAUUUUUAUGCGGUAUAUGAAUCUUAGCGGCGUUAGCACUAAUUUAAUGUUUCCUAUCAAUGUACAUAUACAUGUGUGGACGAACUCUGAUUACGUGGUCUCCUUGACAACGAUGUAUCUGGACUUCGCGGUGCUCUGUUCAUUUAUUUUGAACAAUUUCCUGACAAGGCAGAGUCAGAACUACGUACACAGUAUUGUCGUUCAACGCGCGAACAACAUUCAUACGCUUCGUAUUCAGAGUUUUAUCCACGAUUCACGUGAUUAAGGAUUCAUUUUAUAGUGAGAUUGAAGACAUAAGUACUCCCUUAAAAUGAAUAACUAUAGCCAAAAGAAAAUAAAAAGACAAACAAUUCCAUUAGAAACAAAAAUUCUAAUAUUAAAUAAACUAGCAGAUGGUGAAGGAUCCACAGCUGUUGCUAAUGAAUUUAAAUUAGGUGAAUCCUAAUCAAUCAGAGCUAUACACAAACGUGCGAGUAAAAUAUAUGAAUCUCUUAAUAGUGCAACAAACGACAGUAGUAAAAGAGCAUCGUAUUCGAGAAAUAUUGUAAUAGAGAAGACGGAAAAGGCUCUCGUGUUGUGAGUUAAAGAUUUAACUAAAAAACGAAUCCCCGUUCACAAAGAAUUAAUUCAAGAAAAGGCUAGACAGUAUUUCAACCAACUGAAGGAUUUAGAACCAAGUUCGUCAUCCUGUUUGUGAAACGUGACAUUUUCUGCGAGCAAUGGCUGGUUUGCUGGAUUUUUACAACGGUACGCACUUCACAAUGUGAAGAUACAAGGCGAGGCAGCGUCCGCCGAUGAAACGGCUGCUAUGAAUUAUCGCAAAGUAUUAGCGGAAAUCAUUGAUGAUGGUGGAUAUUGCCCAGAUCAAGUAUUUAAUGCAGAUGAGACUGGGCUAUUCUGGAAAAAGAUGCCCAGUCGAACAUUCAUUGCGAAAUCGGAGAAAACUGCAAGUGGUUUUAAAGUGGCAAAGGAUCGAAUCACACUUCUUCUUUACAGUAAUGCCUCUGGUACAAAGAUGUUAACACCACUUAUUAUAAAUAAAGCUUUACACCCACGUGCGCUAAAAGGCGUAAAUUUAUCUGAAAUACAAAAAACAUCGGCGGAGAAGGCUUUGAUUCUUUCAGCGAUAAUGACCUGAACGAGAUGAUUGAGGACCAAGCUGUGGAUGAUGGUGACAUUAUCAAUAGUUUGAUAGAUUAUGAAAAUGGACGGGUAGAACUGGAAUCUAUUACAGCAGAUAAAAUAUAUGCAGGGAUCCAGAUUUCGAAAAAAUUGGAAACGCAUUUUUUUCAAAUAGAUACCAAUGUCGAAAGACGCUUAAAAUUCCAAAAAGAGCUCAGAUCAUGCAUGUCUCACUAUCGUGACGUUUACAAGCAAUUGACCAGUCGACCGUCGUCACAAAAACUGAUCACUGACUUUAUGGUACCAAAAAACAAAUCAAUUGAAAUCCUAUCUUCAAGCGACGAAAGCGAUUUUCAACCAAUUCAUCAYAAGAAGAUGCGCGUUUUGGAUUACGACGAGUAGCAGCAAACUAUUUAACGUAUAAUUUGAAAACUUCUCCAUUUAUAUGUACAAUGAAAAAUUAAAUAUUAUUACAAUUUC